RNAcentral lists this ribosomal RNA (253 nucleotides) under uncultured bacterium. Its description in RNAcentral is "partial 16S ribosomal RNA". It matches the Rfam family "Bacterial small subunit ribosomal RNA", at positions 524 to 776 of the family's 1533-position model. The record is from RNAcentral.
UACGGAGGGUGCGAGCGUUGUUCGGAAUCACUGGGCGUAAAGCGCGUGUAGGCGGCCUUUUAAGUCCGAUGUGAAAGCCCGGGGCUCACCCCCGGAAGUGCAUUGGAUACUGAUUGGCUGGAGUACCGGAGAGGAGGGUGGAAUUCCUGGUGUAGCGGUGAAAUGUGUAGAGAUCGGGAGGAACACCGGUGGCGAAGGCGGGUCUCUGGGCAAUUCCUGACGCUGAGGCGCGAAAGCGUGGGGAGCAAACGGG